Molecule: ribosomal RNA, 512 nt
Filed under: uncultured bacterium
Lineage: Bacteria
Description: partial 16S ribosomal RNA
Rfam family: Bacterial small subunit ribosomal RNA
Source: RNAcentral
GAUGAACGCUGGCGGCGUGCCUAAUACAUGCAAGUCGAACGAAACUUCUUUAUCACCGAGUGCUUGCACUCACCGAUAAAGAGUUGAGUGGCGAACGGGUGAGUAACACGUGGGCAACCUGCCCAAAAGAGGGGGAUAACACUUGGAAACAGGUGCUAAUACCGCAUAACCAUAGUUACCGCAUGGUAACUAUGUAAAAGGUGGCUAUACUACCGCUUUUGGAUGGGCCCGCGGCGCAUUAGCUAGUUGGUAGGGUAAAGGCUUACCAAGGCAAUGAUGCGUAGCCGAAUUGAGAGGUUGAUCGGCCAUAUUGGGACUGAGACACGGCCCAAACUCCUACGGGAGGCAGCAGUAGGGAAUCUUCCACAAUGGGCGAAAGCCUGAUGGAGCAACGCCGCGUGGGUGAAGAAGGUCUUCGGAUCGUAAAACCCUGUUGUUAGAGAAGAAAGUGCGUGAGAGUAACUGUUCACGUUUCGACGGUAUCUAACCAGAAAGCCACGGCUAACUACGUG